GGGGCUGAUUCUGGAUUCGACGGGAUUCGCGAAACCCAAGGUGCAUGCCGAGGUGCGGUAGGCCUCGUUAAAAAGCCGCAAAAAAAUAGUCGCAAACGACGAAAACUACGCACUAGCAGCUUAAUAACCUGCUUAGAGCCCUCUCUCCCUAGCCUCCGCUCUUAGGACGGGGAUCAAGAGAGGUCAAACCCAAAAGAGAUCGCGUGGAUGCCCUGCCUGGGGUUGAAGCGUUAAAACUAAUCAGGCUAGUUUGUCAGUGGCGUGUCCGUUCGCAGCUGGCUGGCGAAUGUAAAAACUGGACUAAGCAUGUAGUACCGAGGAUGUAGGAAUUUCGGACGCGGGUUCAACUCCCGCCAGCUCCACCA
RNAcentral lists this transfer-messenger RNA (365 nucleotides) under Mixta mediterraneensis. It matches the Rfam family "transfer-messenger RNA". From Rfam's summary of the family: Bacterial tmRNA, also known as 10Sa RNA or SsrA, is named for its dual tRNA and mRNA-like properties. Its role is to liberate the mRNA from a stalled ribosome. The record is from RNAcentral. Lineage: Bacteria; Pseudomonadati; Pseudomonadota; Gammaproteobacteria; Enterobacterales; Erwiniaceae.